GCCCUGCCUCUCAAAACUAAAAGUUCAGAGUAGGGUUUACUCUUUCAUGGAAUUACUGUAGAGCAGCACACUGGGUUGUGCGCAUAAGCACACAUCUGGGGGGCUGCUGACCGAUUCUACCCUAACUGCUGACCCUAGUUAUGUUUCUCUAGGCAACCUCCAUGGCCCAUCUUCUAAACACGGGUCAUGUUCAAAGUGCACUGCACGAGCUGCCAGUGUGAAAAGAGCUGGGAUAUUUGUUAAAAUGCAGGUGUCCCCACUUUUACUUAACAGGGUAGUGGGCUCUACAUUUCUUUCACAUCCUCCACGUGGCACUAGGCCAGCCACUGGGGCUGUACCAAUCUCUCAGGCAAGGAGGCACCUUCCUGGGCCCCCGCUGCUCCGGGUCUGUCUGAGCUUUGCCUCCAGCCCCUCUAAGGGGUUGCGGUGGCUACUGGGCUUUCUAACCCAUGCUAGCCGGGGGUAACUGGACCUCUCCCUCCCCUGGGGCGCUUCACAGAAGCCACCCCUAAGCCCUGUCCCUAACCCGUCCAUUUCCACAACCAGGCCCGGCUGGGCCAAGGGCUGCAUCCAUGCGGGUGGGGCCAUCUGGCCACACACCCGGCAGUGACUCAGCUCUGGCGGGCGGCGCACUGCUCCAUGCCGUGCGGGGACAAAGCCGUGCCAUCACGCCGCACCUGCAGGCCGCCCAGCACCCCCACCCUCUCCUCGUGGGUAGGGGUGGAGGGGAGGGAGGCCCAGACUGUUGCCAGGCAGGCUGGGCCCGCGGCGGCUGCGGUUGGCUCCCGGUCGCUCGCCGCCCCCGCACCGCCUCCGCGCACUGAGUCACCCCGCCCCACCGGCCGCCGCCCCGUGGCUCCCACACCUCUGAGCCUGCGCAUACUGCUGCAUUUUCCCCUACCCCACCCCCGUCCCUGUCCUCGCCCCAUCCGCCGCUCCCGUGCGUGCGCGCGUGCGCGCGCGAACUAGGCGCCAGGCACUGGGAAAGGACGUCCGCGCUACUUUGUUGCCAUCGCAACGUCAGCUCAAUGGUACAGUGCUUGCAAACAUGGCCAAAGGCCUGACUGACCACCUGAAUCUUCACUUUUGGUGAUCGUGUGACACUGGGCAAUGGGAUUUAUUCUCUAAACGCCUGGGUUGCUCCGUCUGUAAAAUGGAGUUGCUCCCUGGGCUAUCUCAGGACUGUGUUGAGGAAGCAUAAGACAAUGCAGUAAGCCUCAGCUCCGUGGCUGACUUCCCUGGGGGGUGUCCUUGUUACUCGUCAAAAUCAUUGCCAGCUUGAGGCCCUGUCUGUGCGGUUUAACUUGGACUUCUCAGACCUGAAUACCUGGUUUACGCGCUCACAUGGCCUGAGGAAGAGCUACCCAACCAGGUAUGUUCAUGAUGGAUUCCUCCUUUGUCGGACUCUCCUAAGACCCCACCCAGAGACUACAUUAGAAACGAGAGGCAGUGGGUUAAAGCUUAUCACCUUCCUCAGGACUGUAGGGAGGCCACUUGCCCUCCCUGAGGCUCCCUGAACAACCCCUGCCACACAAUCUCUGAUGGAUGGCUCAGUACACAAGAUUUUUUUAAAGUUUAGAACAACAUCUCCUAAGAUUGCUCAAGGUUCUUUAUACAAGGGACUCUCUCAACAUCUCACCCCCAAACAAGAAUCUGAAGUCAGGACAAAUGCCUGAAACCUGGAGACUUCAUCCAGGCAGCCACCAUUCAUGAGGACAGGGAGACAAAGCUUCCUGGAGGCUGAUUUGCUUGAUCUUCUGUGUAAGUGGCAGAGCCGAGGAACCACAGGCAUUGAAGUGGAGGAGAUCAAAAUCUUAAUAGAUGGGGAAGCUGAGAGAUAGUCAGCAGCCAAACAAGAUGAAGUUUGGGAGGUCUUCGGUUCCUCAGAUAAUGCCACUGGGCUUCUCCAGUUUUACCUGCCAGAUCUCCGUGGGAAACUGCCAUCGCUAGUCCAAGUGCUAAAGGGUCCUGGAAGCUUGCAUGGCAGAGAAGAAAAUCUGUUCUGACCUCAUAGUUGCCAUCAGGUACAGCAAGGUUCCUAGACAUAUAAGGUCACCAUGCCUCCAAACAAGAAAUCGAGAAGAUGCUUACUGUGUUGGACAUGAGCGAAUAUCUGACGCAGCCAGACAUGGUGAUGCAGUUUUAAUGCCAGCACUUGGGAGGCAGAAGCAAGCAGUGAGUUCGAAGUCAGCUUGGUCUUGUAAGUACUUGUCUCAGAAGCAAACAAACCUGAUAUAAGCUACUUAAGUGUGGACCUGGGUACCAGAGGCUUUCCACGGAGAUCUCUGGUCCCGCCAGGUGCGAGUGUUCCCGUGAAGGGAAGCCUGUGCAGGCAGGGAGGGGAAGUCGCUUCCACCGCUGCUUCUGCGGUUGGCUCCAUCUCCGUCUCUGCCCUGCCUCUAGGUUACUCCGUUACAGCAGUGCGCUGCCCUGUACUGAGUCCGGUAGGGCUAGGUCAACCAGAGGCUGACUAGCCAGUGAGGAGUGCGGCAGAGCGUCAGGCGGCGUUUCGGAAGAGCAGACCUCUUCCCAAGUGUAUGGCUCUUUGGACAGAAGGCUGGGACCCAGGGGUAGUUCUCGCACCCCUAAUCCUCCCAGAUAGGAUUCUUAUAUACAGUUUUGGGGUGGGUAAGGGUCUGACAACAGGCACUUCUCAUUGGUUUGUCUGAGAGCUUUGGGGAAACCUUAUUUGCAUGUGGAAGGAGGUGACUAAUGGCUACAUACAUCUCUGCAGGGGGCUGUGGGAGGCUGUAGCAGUGACAGGAGCCAGGGGCCCAGGAGGCAUGGUCAAACACCUUCUGUCCUAUGCAGGUGGAAAUCACCACCCACUGGGUCACAGGGGUUCCAAACCUUUGUUCGACCAGGGAUCAGGCUGUCUGUGCACAGCCCACCACCUCACACACUCAAUCAGAGUGGGGGUGAAGUUGAGGAGCAACUUUAUUUCAAGGGAAACAGGAAACGGGGGAUAAAGGAGGGGCCAGGAGAAGGGAGAGCCUUGUGGUAGUUUAAGUGAGAAAUGCUCUCCCCUAGCCUCAGGUCCUCAGGGGACCUCAGGUCCUCACUGGGGAACGGGCAGCCUGGUGGGGGCAGUACGCUGCUGGGGGCACUGGGGAUGGGGCAGUCUGGUGGGGGCAGCCUGGUGGGGGUCGGGUGGGCUGAGAGUUUACAGCUUCGCCUCCCAUUGAGUAUGUUGCACUUUUGGGUAAAGAAGUGAACACCCAGCUUCUUGUUCCUGCUACCAUGCCUGCCGGCCACUUGGACUCUCCCUCUAGAACCAGAAGCCAAAAUAAACUUUCUCCAUUGA
Mus musculus (house mouse) is the source of this 3304-nucleotide long non-coding RNA. RefSeq annotates it as predicted gene, 34590. The transcript has 7 exons. NCBI's taxonomy places the organism in Eukaryota, Metazoa, Chordata, Mammalia, Rodentia, Muridae. The record is from RefSeq and is a predicted model, not a curated record.